Molecule: ribosomal RNA, 508 nt
Filed under: uncultured bacterium
Lineage: Bacteria
Description: partial 16S ribosomal RNA
Rfam family: Bacterial small subunit ribosomal RNA
Source: RNAcentral
GACGAACGCUGGCGGCGUGCCUAAUACAUGCAAGUCGAGCGCAGGAAGUCAUCCGAACCCUUCGGGGGGACGUUGACGGAAUGAGCGGCGGACGGGUGAGUAACACGUAAAGAACCUGCCCUCAGGUCUGGGAUAACCACGAGAAAUCGGGGCUAAUACCGGAUGGGUCAUCGGACCGCAUGGUCCGAGGAUGAAAGGCGCUCCGGCGUCGCCUGGGGAUGGCUUUGCGGUGCAUUAGCUAGUUGGUGGGGUAAUGGCCCACCAAGGCGACGAUGCAUAGCCGACCGGAGAGGGUGAUCGGCCACACUGGGACUGAGACACGGCCCAGACUCCUACGGGAGGCAGCAGUAGGGAAUCUUCCACAAUGGACGAAAGUCUGAUGGAGCAACGCCGCGCGAACGAUGAAGGCCCUCGGGUCGUAAAGUUCUGUUGUAAGGGAAGAACAAGUGCCGCAGGCAAUGGCGGCACCUUGACGGUACCUUGCGAGAAAGCCACGGCUAACUACGUG